RNAcentral lists this long non-coding RNA (1929 nucleotides) under Pogona vitticeps (central bearded dragon). RNAcentral's name for it is "lncRNA (ENSPVIG00000005619.1)". The record is from RNAcentral. Lineage: Eukaryota; Metazoa; Chordata; Lepidosauria; Squamata; Agamidae.
AUGGAUCGGGUUCUGCUGUGCGCCCUGGCACCGUCCGGGGCUCCCCAGUCUGGCCAGGAGGAGUCUCUGGGCUGCACCUGGAGGUCCGAGACUGAAGCCACGAAGGUUGCCCGUCUCCUGCAAGCAGCGACACGCGGAGCAGCCAAGGGCGCCUUUGGAGAAUGGAAAUACUACGCGUUUCUCACCACAAUAUUUGUUGCUGUAUUAGUUUUAAUUGGCCUCUUCUGCUUUUACUCCAAAUUCCGGAACUGUGCCCAGUCCUGUAUUAGGCGAGAUCCUUUUGAAGAGCUAGAAGAGGAUGAUUUUGACAUUCCUUGGGAAACCAAUCUCAUAGAGCGCCCCGAGCCCUACGGUGCCUGCAUAAGCCCACCCCAAAGCAUAUCCGGCGGAAACACCCGAGUCUCCAGGAAUGAGGAUGUCCGGUUGCCCUUUGCUCCAGCAGAUCUUGGGAGAAGACUGGUGUCUCGUUCCCCAUCUCAUACCCUUCAGGGGAUUGUUGGCCCUGGUUUCCCCUCAGAGACUCUUGGUGAGAGGACCGGCCAAGGUUCCUCCUCAGAGAGUAUCUUUACCAUAGAAGACCUGGAGUAGAUGGUGGUAUUUUUGACUGUCCUCUCAGGCCAGCUCCUGAUACACUUCGCAAAGAAACAGCAUGUAGAAUCAUAGACAUAUUACUUUCAGGGUUAUACCAAUGAGAUAUGCAGUGCUUUUAAUUGACUCAACCAGUGGUUCCCAACCUUGAGGAACCCAGGUGUUCUUGGACUGCAACUCCCAGAAGCCUUCCCCACUCACUGUGCUGGCCAGGGUUUCUGGGAGUUGUAGUCCAAGAAUAUCUGGGAGACCCAAGGAUGGGAACCACUGGACUAGAUGAACAAUGCAUUUUUACAUGGAGUCGUUCAUUUUUCUGAAUUUGCCCAUGGCCAUCUUCCACACCCAAAGCUGACUUGUCUUUGUAAUACCUCCAUGUCAAUUCUUCUCCUAUACAUUCACUGCUCCUUGAAUCGAGGCAUUACUUUACCACCAUUUAGUUCAAGACCCAAGGUUGGGAACCACUGUUCCAAAGGAAUUGCAGUCACUGAGUCCUACCUUGGUGAACAGACUUAGUUCUGCACUGCCCAUCAUCAUUCAUCCAAGAGGGGUAAAAUAUGGAGGUUGUCCUGGACAGAAUUCCUUAACACCCAGGUGGACUACUUAUUAGCUUUCCAUGGAUGCCAUUCCCACCAUCCCUUAGCAUCUACUAGGCCUGAUGGGAUAUCCAAUCCAGCAACAACUGGAGGCCUACAGCUGCCCAGAUCUUCCUGAACUAUUGCACUGAAACAGGACUUCCCAACUUUGGGUCCCUGGGUGUGUUCUUUUAGCAUCUACUAGGCCUGAUGGGAUAUCUAAUCCUCCUGAACGAUUGCCACUGAAACAGGGGUUGCCAACUUCGGAUCCCCGGGUGUGUUCUUGGACUAAAACUCUCAAAGGCCUUUGCCUGUGCUGGCCAGGAUUUCUGAGAGUUGUGAUCCAAGAACAUCUGGAUCACCCAAGGCUGGGAAGCAUUACAUUAAAAUAUGGCUGAGUUGCAGUAUGAUACAGCUGUGGAACCAACAACUGGAUCUCUGUAUUUGUGGAGGAAAUCUUGUUUAUUGAGUGUUACUUUCUGUUUAUGCAGCUGUUCCUCCUUGCUAUGUAUUGUCUACCAGAUGUCAGAAAUGAAAGGGGUGUUUGUGUAGCUCACACAGGAGCAGAUACCACAGGUUAACUCAAAGCGUUUUUAGACUUGAGAAGUGUAUGAGAGACACCUUUUCUUGAAGAGACAGGCAAAAAAUGUGAUGCUUCUGAGAUUAGGGAACCAGGUGUUUUUUUAAAAGCGCAGACUAGAAGUCUGUUUCUAAAUGUAUGUACCAAAUUGCUAAUAAAAGAUAUACAAAAUUUUGAACCUGGCCUCUU